RNAcentral lists this transfer RNA (65 nucleotides) under Rhagovelia reitteri. Its description in RNAcentral is "tRNA-Ile". The record is from RNAcentral. Lineage: Eukaryota; Metazoa; Arthropoda; Insecta; Hemiptera; Veliidae. RNAcentral also lists the same sequence under 1 other name.
AAUAAGAUGCCUGAUUAAAGGGCUAUUUUGAUAGAAUAGAUCAAGUAAUAUAAUUACUCUUAUUA